RNAcentral lists this ribosomal RNA (273 nucleotides) under uncultured bacterium. Its description in RNAcentral is "partial 16S ribosomal RNA". It matches the Rfam family "Bacterial small subunit ribosomal RNA", at positions 524 to 796 of the family's 1533-position model. The record is from RNAcentral.
UACGGAAGGGGCAAGCGUUGUUCGGAAUCAUUGGGCGUAAAGGGCGCGUAGGUGGUUUUGUAUGUCUACCGUGAAAGCACGCGGCUUAACCGCGUUCCGUCGGUAGAAACUGCAGGACUUGAGGCUGGGAGGGGCUGGUGGAAUUCCCUGUGUAGCGGUGAAAUGCGUAGAGAUGGGGGAGAACACUCGUGGCGAAGGCGGCCAGCUAGACCAGUUCUGACACUGAGGCGCGACAGCGUGGGGAGCAAACAGGAUUAGAAACCCCCGUAGUCC